AAGACCUUGCGCUUUUGGAGCGGCCGAUGCCUGAUUAGCUAGUUGGUGGGGUAAUGGCCUACCAAAGCUUCGAUCAGUAGCUGGUCUGAGAGGACGGCCAGCCACACUGGGACUGAGACACGGCCCAGACUCCUACGGGAGGCAGCAGUGGGGGAUUUUGGACAAUGGGCGCAAGCCUGAUCCAGCCAUGCCGCGUGAGUGAAGAAGGCCUUCGGGUUGUAAAGCUCUUUCAGCCGGGAAGAAAAGGUUGCGAUUAAUAAUCGCAAUUUAUGACGGUACCGGAAGAAGAAGCACCGGCUAACUACGUGCCAGCAGCCGCGGUAAUACGUAGGGUGCGAGCGUUAAUCGGAAUUACUGGGCGUAAAGGGUGCGCAGGCGGUUUUGUAAGUCAGAUGUGAAAUCCCCGGGCUUAACCUGGGAACU
Molecule: ribosomal RNA, 423 nt
Filed under: uncultured bacterium
Lineage: Bacteria
Description: bacterial SSU rRNA
Rfam family: Bacterial small subunit ribosomal RNA
Source: RNAcentral